ACCGAAGGGAAGGAGGCGAGGUCCAGAGC
This 29-nucleotide non-coding RNA is filed under the name Homo sapiens (human). The record is from RNAcentral. Lineage: Eukaryota; Metazoa; Chordata; Mammalia; Primates; Hominidae.